This 507-nucleotide ribosomal RNA is filed under the name uncultured bacterium. RNAcentral describes it as "bacterial SSU rRNA". It matches the Rfam family "Bacterial small subunit ribosomal RNA", at positions 35 to 524 of the family's 1533-position model. The record is from RNAcentral.
GCUGGCGGCAUGCCUAUCAUGCAAGUCGAGCGAAUGACGAAGAAGCUUGCUUCUUCUGAUUUAGUGGCGGACGGGUGAGUAACACGUGGGCAACCUGCCCUGUAGAUUGGGAUAACUCCGGGAAACCGGGGCUAAUACCGAAUAAUCCAUUUCCUCACAUGGGGAGAUGUUAAAAGACGGCAUCUCGCUGUCACUACAGGAUGGGCCCGCGGCGCAUUAGCUAGUUGGUGAGGUAACGGCUCACCAAGGCGACGAUGCGUAGCCGACCUGAGAGGGUGAUCGGCCACACUGGGACUGAGACACGGCCCAGACUCCUACGGGAGGCAGCAGUAGGGAAUCUUCCACAAUGGACGAAAGUCUGAUGGAGCAAUGCCGCGUGAGUGAAGAAGGUUUUCGGAUCGUAAAACUCUGUUGUGAGGGAAGAACAAGUAUGAGAGUAACUGCUCGUACCUUGACGGUACCUCAUUAGAAAGCCACGGCUAACUACGUGCCAGCAGCCGCGGUAAU